UGCACCGAAGCUGCGGCAGCGACACUGUGUGUUGUUGGGUAGGGGAGCGUUCUGUAAGCCUGCGAAGGUGGCCUGUGAGGGUUGCUGGAGGUAUCAGAAGUGCGAAUGCUGACAUAAGUAACGAUAAAGCGGGUGAAAAGCCCGCUCGCCGGAAGACCAAGGGUUCCUGUCCAACGUUAAUCGGGGCAGGGUGAGUCGACCCCUAAGGCGAGGCCGAAAGGCGUAGUCGAUGGGAAACGGGUUAAUAUUCCCGUACUUGGUGUUACUGCGAAGGGGGGACGGAGAAGGCUAUGUUGGCCGGGCGACGGUUGUCCCGGUUUAAGCGUGUAGGUGUGUGUUCCAGGUAAAUCCGGUUCACUUUAACACUGAGGCGUGACGACGAGGCACUACGGUGCUGAAGCAACAAAUGCCCUGCUUCCAGGAAAAGCCUCUAAGCAUCAGGUAACAUCAAAUCGUACCCCAAACCGACACAGGUGGUCAGGUAGAGAAUACCAAGGCGCUUGAGAGAACUCGGGUGAAGGAACUAGGCAAAAUGGUGCCGUAACUUCGGGAGAAGGCACGCUGACACGUAGGUGAAGUGAUUUACUCAUGGAGCUGAAGUCAGUCGAAGAUACCAGCUGGCUGCAACUGUUUAUUAAAAACACAGCACUGUGCAAACACGAAAGUGGACGUAUACGGUGUGACGCCUGCCCGGUGCCGGAAGGUUAAUUGAUGGGGUCAGCGCAAGCGAAGCUCCUGAUCGAAGCCCCGGUAAACGGCGGCCGUAACUAUAACGGUCCUAAGGUAGCGAAAUUCCUUGUCGGGUAAGUUCCGACCUGCACGAAUGGCGUAAUGAUGGCCAGGCUGUCUCCACCCGAGACUCAGUGAAAUUGAACUCGCUGUGAAGAUGCAGUGUACCCGCGGCAAGACGGAAAGACCCCGUGAACCUUUACUAUAGCUUGACACUGAACAUUGAGCCUUGAUGUGUAGGAUAGGUGGGAGGCUUUGAAGUGUGGACGCCAGUCUGCAUGGAGCCGACCUUGAAAUACCACCCUUUAAUGUUUGAUGUUCUAACGUGGACCCGUUACCCGGGUUGCGGACAGUGUCUGGUGGGUAGUUUGACUGGGGCGGUCUCCUCCUAAAGAGUAACGGAGGAGCACGAAGGUUGGCUAAUCCUGGUCGGACAUCAGGAGGUUAGUGCAAUGGCAUAAGCCAGCUUGACUGCGAGCGUGACGGCGCGAGCAGGUGCGAAAGCAGGUCAUAGUGAUCCGGUGGUUCUGAAUGGAAGGGCCAUCGCUCAACGGAUAAAAGGUACUCCGGGGAUAACAGGCUGAUACCGCCCAAGAGUUCAUAUCGACGGCGGUGUUUGGCACCUCGAUGUCGGCUCAUCACAUCCUGGGGCUGAAGUAGGUCCCAAGGGUAUGGCUGUUCGCCAUUUAAAGUGGUACGCGAGCUGGGUUUAGAACGUCGUGAGACAGUUCGGUCCCUAUCUGCCGUGGGCGCUGGAGAACUGAGGGGGGCUGCUCCUAGUACGAGAGGACCGGAGUGGACGCAUCACUGGUGUUCGGGUUGUCAUGCCAAUGGCACUGCCCGGUAGCUAAAUGCGGAAGAGAUAAGUGCUGAAAGCAUCUAAGCACGAAACUUGCCCCGAGAUGAGUUCUCCCUGAGACUUAAAGUCUCCUGAAGGAACGUUGAAGACGACGACGUUGAUAGGCCGGGUGUGUAAGCGCAGCGAUGCGUUGAGCUAACCGGUACUAAUGAACCGUGAGGCUUAA
RNAcentral lists this ribosomal RNA (1754 nucleotides) under Salmonella enterica. RNAcentral's name for it is "partial 23S ribosomal RNA". It matches the Rfam family "Bacterial large subunit ribosomal RNA", at positions 1190 to 2925 of the family's 2925-position model. Lineage: Bacteria; Pseudomonadati; Pseudomonadota; Gammaproteobacteria; Enterobacterales; Enterobacteriaceae. The record is from RNAcentral.